Molecule: transfer RNA, 75 nt
Filed under: Thermoprotei archaeon
Lineage: Archaea; Thermoproteati; Thermoproteota; Thermoprotei
Description: tRNA-Met
Source: RNAcentral
UGAAGGGACGGUAGCCCGGGUUCCGCGAAGCUCAUAACCCCGAGGUCGGUGGUUCAAAUCCACCCCCCGCUACCA